CACCAGCAGCUCAAGUGGUGAUCGCGUUUACUGGGUUUAAGGCGUGCGUAGUCGGUUCGGCAAGUCUUCUGUGAAAUCCUGCGGCUUAACCGCAGGGAUUGCAGAAAAUACUACCGUGCUCGAGGCCGGGGUAGGUGUGGGGUAUUCUGGGGGUAGCGGUGAAAUGCUAUAAUCCCUGGAGGACCACCCGUAGCGAAGGCGCCACACUGGAACGGGCCUGACGAUGAGGUACGAGAGCUAGGGGA
Molecule: ribosomal RNA, 245 nt
Filed under: uncultured archaeon
Lineage: Archaea
Description: partial 16S ribosomal RNA
Rfam family: Archaeal small subunit ribosomal RNA
Source: RNAcentral